Molecule: non-coding RNA, 30 nt
Filed under: Mus musculus (house mouse)
Lineage: Eukaryota; Metazoa; Chordata; Mammalia; Rodentia; Muridae
Source: RNAcentral
UNCCUGGUUGAUCCUGCCAGUAGCAUAUGU